Molecule: ribosomal RNA, 465 nt
Filed under: Vreelandella stevensii
Lineage: Bacteria; Pseudomonadati; Pseudomonadota; Gammaproteobacteria; Oceanospirillales; Halomonadaceae
Description: partial 16S ribosomal RNA
Rfam family: Bacterial small subunit ribosomal RNA
Source: RNAcentral
CCUACGGGGGGCAGCAGUGGGGAAUAUUGGACAAUGGGCGAAAGCCUGAUCCAGCCAUGCCGCGUGUGUGAAGAAGGCCUUCGGGUUGUAAAGCACUUUCAGUGGGGAAGAAAGCCUUGGGGCUAAUACCCUCGAGGAAGGACAUCACCCACAGAAGAAGCACCGGCUAACUCCGUGCCAGCAGCCGCGGUAAUACGGAGGGUGCGAGCGUUAAUCGGAAUUACUGGGCGUAAAGCGCGCGUAGGCGGUCUGAUAAGCCGGUUGUGAAAGCCCCGGGCUCAACCUGGGAACGGCAUCCGGAACUGUCAGGCUAGAGUGCAGGAGAGGAAGGUAGAAUUCCCGGUGUAGCGGUGAAAUGCGUAGAGAUCGGGAGGAAUACCAGUGGCGAAGGCGGCCUUCUGGACUGACACUGACGCUGAGGUGCGAAAGCGUGGGUAGCGAACAGGAUUAGAUACCCCGGUAGUC